This is a non-coding RNA of Equus caballus (horse), 555 nucleotides long. The record is from the annotation of a RefSeq genome assembly. NCBI's taxonomy places the organism in Eukaryota, Metazoa, Chordata, Mammalia, Perissodactyla, Equidae.
CUUCGCAGCGACACACAGGCAUUCGCUGUGCACAAAGGGGCUCUUAGUUUAUGAAUGAGGAGUUUCUAUAAGGUCUCGCUGGAGACUAGCCCUGUUAGAUUUGGUGAACUCCAGGGAGCAAGGUUCAUUUUCUUCUGCCAACAUGCUUUCUGCCAUCUGCUCUGUUCUUGGGAUCUUCUUAAUAUUCAGAGGGACCAAUGGAGACUCAGUGAACCAGACAGAAAGCCCAGUCACUCUCUCAGAGGGGGCAUCUCUGACCCUGAACUGCACCUACCAGACAUAUUCAAGUCCUUUCCUUCUCUGGUAUGUCCAGUAUCUCAAUAAACCUCCUCAACUCCUCCUGAAGAGCUCAACAGAAAACCAGAGGACAGAGAAUCAUUUUCAGGCCACUCUUAUUAUGAGUGACAGCUCCUUCCACCUGAAGAAACCCUCAGUACAGAUGUCAGACUCAGCUGUGUACUACUUCGCUCUGAGAGACACAGUGAGGGGGAUGCAGGGGGAGCUGAGCACAAACCCAGAGGGCGCAGUUGGGGCUGAAGGUGAGCUGGCCUAGGA